Molecule: ribosomal RNA, 496 nt
Filed under: uncultured bacterium
Lineage: Bacteria
Description: partial 16S ribosomal RNA
Rfam family: Bacterial small subunit ribosomal RNA
Source: RNAcentral
AUGAACGCUGGCGGCGUGCCUAAUACAUGCAAGUCGAGCGAACAGACGAGGAGCUUGCUCCUCUGACGUUAGCGGCGGACGGGUGAGUAACACGUGGAUAACCUACCUAUAAGACUGGGAUAACUUCGGGAAACCGGAGCUAAUACCGGAUAAUAUAUUGAACCGCAUGGUUCAAUAGUGAAAGACGGUUUUGCUGUCACUUAUAGAUGGAUCCGCGCCGCAUUAGCUAGUUGGUAAGGUAACGGCUUACCAAGGCAACGAUGCGUAGCCGACCUGAGAGGGUGAUCGGCCACACUGGAACUGAGACACGGUCCAGACUCCUACGGGAGGCAGCAGUAGGGAAUCUUCCGCAAUGGGCGAAAGCCUGACGGAGCAACGCCUCGUGAGUGAUGAAGGUCUUCGGAUCGUAAAACUCUGUUAUUAGGGAAGAACAAAUGUGUAAGUAACUAUGCACGUCUUGACGGUACCUAAUCAGAAAGCCACGGCUAACUACGUG